Molecule: transfer RNA, 71 nt
Filed under: Cricetulus griseus (Chinese hamster)
Lineage: Eukaryota; Metazoa; Chordata; Mammalia; Rodentia; Cricetidae
Rfam family: tRNA
About the family: Transfer RNA (tRNA) molecules are approximately 80 nucleotides in length. Their secondary structure includes four short double-helical elements and three loops (D, anti-codon, and T loops).
Source: Rfam by way of RNAcentral
GGACAUGUAGCUCAAUGGUAGAGCACCUGUCUGGAAUACACAAGGCUUUGGGUUAAUUCCAAGUACCACUA